GGGGCUGUAGCUCAGUCUGGGAGAGUACCUCCUUUGCACGGAGGGGGUCAGGGGUUCAAAUCCCCUCAGCUCCA
Molecule: transfer RNA, 74 nt
Filed under: Chloroflexi bacterium B3_Chlor
Lineage: Bacteria; Bacillati; Chloroflexota
Also listed under: 1 other name
Description: tRNA-Ala
Rfam family: tRNA
About the family: Transfer RNA (tRNA) molecules are approximately 80 nucleotides in length. Their secondary structure includes four short double-helical elements and three loops (D, anti-codon, and T loops). Further hydrogen bonds mediate the characteristic L-shaped molecular structure. tRNAs have two regions of fundamental functional importance: the anti-codon, which is responsible for specific mRNA codon recognition, and the 3' end, to which the tRNAs corresponding amino acid is attached (by aminoacyl-tRNA synthetases). tRNAs cope with the degeneracy of the genetic code in two manners: having more than one tRNA (with a specific anti-codon) for a particular amino acid; and 'wobble' base-pairing, i.e. permitting non-standard base-pairing at the 3rd anti-codon position.
Source: RNAcentral